RNAcentral lists this ribosomal RNA (418 nucleotides) under uncultured bacterium. RNAcentral's name for it is "bacterial SSU rRNA". It matches the Rfam family "Bacterial small subunit ribosomal RNA", at positions 361 to 776 of the family's 1533-position model. The record is from RNAcentral.
AUAUUGGUCAAUGGACGCCAGUCUGAACCAGCCAUGCCGCGUGCAGGAAGACGGCUCUAUGAGUUGUAAACUGCUUUUGUACGAGGGUAAAUUCAGGUACGUGUCACUGUUUGAAAGUAUCGUCCGAAUACGGAUCGGCUAACUCCGUGCCAGCAGCCGCGGUAAUACGGAGGAUCCAAGCGUUAUCCGGAUUUAUUGGGUUUAAAGGGUGCGUAGGCGGUUUGAUAAGUUGGAGGUGAAAUGUUAGGGCUUAACCCUGAAACUGCCUCCAAUACUGUUGGACUAGAGAGUAGUUGCGGUAGGCGGAAUGUAUGGUGUAGCGGUGAAAUGCUUAGAGAUCAUGCAGAACACCGAUUGCGAAGGCAGCUUACCAAACUAUAUCUGACGUUGAGGCACGAAAGCGUGGGGAGUAAACAGG